GCGGCAGCUGACAGUUUCAGUAAACCACGGAGACGAACGGAUUACGGUUUGAUAAUAGGCGAACAUGCAAUUACAUAUAUUAAAGUCAUAGCAAUAAUCCAAGCGAACACAAGCGGAAAACAAACAGAAAACAGCCACGCAAAAGCAAACCAAUAACAAUAAUAUUUAAUGCAUAAUAAUAGUAAUAUCUGAUAAUAUUAAUACUAAUAAUAGUCAGGCCGUAACAGCUCUCUGGGAACAAAGCGCAGCGUUCGAAGUAAUCGCCGUCGUCUUGGCUGUUGUUAAGCCACCACUCCAGCAUCCUCCCGCUUAAAAACAAAAACCAAAAACAAAAACAAAACAAAGCCCAAGGAACUCAAAAACCAAAAACAAAAAUAACACCAAGUAAUACUUAUAAAAAACAAAAACAAAAAAUUCAUCUUCUACUUGUUCUUCUGCUUCAACUUUCUUCGUCUUCGUCUCCGUUAUAAAUAUAUAUAUAUACAUAUAUCAUAUACAUACAUACAUAUAUAUCCGUGUGUGUGUGUGUUUGCGACGCGUGUGUACUGGUGCAUGUGAAUGUGUGAGCUACAACAAUCACUAAAACAACAACAACAACAA
Molecule: small RNA, 600 nt
Filed under: Drosophila pseudoobscura pseudoobscura
Lineage: Eukaryota; Metazoa; Arthropoda; Insecta; Diptera; Drosophilidae
Description: GA30550
Source: RNAcentral